AUGCCGGACAGAAACAUCCUCGAAGGGGUUGUGGUCUUGCAUGAAACGAUCCAUGAAAUUCACAUGAAAAAACUUGAUGGCGUGGUUUUCAAGGUGGAUUUCGAGAAAGCGUACGACAAAGUCAAAUGGCCUUUCCUCCAACAGGCACUACGCAUGAAGGGUUUUGAUAAAGUUUGGAGACGACAAGUCGAAUCCUUCACGCAAAAAGGGAGUGUUGGAAUUAAAGUGAAUAACGAUAUAGGUCAUUAUUUCCAGACACAUAAGGGCCUGAGACAAGGUGAUCCAGUGUCUCAUAUUUUGUUCAACAUUGUCGUUGACAUGUUGGCAAUCCUGAUAGGUAGGGCAAAGGAGACCGGCCAGGUAGGUGGCUUGGUGCCUCAUCUAGUUGAUGGUGGUGUGUCCAUCCUGCAGUAUGCUGAUGAUACGAUCAUCUUUAUGGAGCAUGACUUGGCAAAAGCGAGAAAUAUGAAGCUGGUGUUGUGCCUGUUUGAGCAAUUGACCAGUUUGAAGAUUAACUUCCAUAAAAGCGAGUUGUUCUGUUUUGGGAGAGCCAAAGAGGAACAAGAUGCAUAUAAGCAAUUGUUUGGUUGUGAAUUGGGAGCACUUCCGUUCACUUACCUAGGUAUCCCCAUUCAUCAUCGUAAACUAACAAACAGCCAAUGGAAGUGUAUCGAGGAUCGAUUUGAGAAGAAACUGAGCUGCUGGAAGGGCAAACUCAUGUCGUAUGGAGGCCGGUUGAUUCUUAUUAAUUCGGUGCUCACGAGUCUGCCUAUGUUCCUUUUGUCCUUUUUUGAGGUACCAGUUGGAGUUAGGAAAAGGAUGGACUUCUAUCGGUCUCGUUCCUUCUGGCAGAGUGAUGAACUUAAGAGAAAGUACCGUUUAGCCAAAUGGGACGUCAUCUGCCGACCGAAGGGCCAAGGGGGUCUUGGUGUUGAAAAUCUUGAGGUCGAGAACAGAUGUCUUCUCAGUAAGUGGCUAUAUAAGUUAGCUGCUGAGACUGAAGCUACUUGGGCACAGAUUCUGCGUAACAAGUACCUCCACUCUAAGACUUUGUCGCAGGUGACAGUCAGACCGACUGAUUCGCCUUUCUGGAAAGGGCUAAUGAGAGUCAAAGCUACUUUCUUUAACAGAACAAAGUUUAUUGUUGGGGAUGGCAACAAUACUCGCUUCUGA
This 1173-nucleotide ribosomal RNA is filed under the name Triticum aestivum (bread wheat). Its description in RNAcentral is "partial small subunit ribosomal RNA". The record is from RNAcentral. Lineage: Eukaryota; Viridiplantae; Streptophyta; Magnoliopsida; Poales; Poaceae.